AUGUCUGCCUUAUCCAUUCACCGAUCAGAAUCCCCGACUCCCCGAGGCUCCGACGGCCCGACGCCGCCCUCGAUGCGCCGCUCGCGCCCGACAGCCUCCGGCGGCGGGCGCCGUCGAAUCCACCGCCCUCCACGGCCUCCUUCCAUCGCGUGGUUUAUUUCUUCCCCGGCAUCUUCGUCAUCAAUUCCGGCCGAGCUCCCCCGCCGCCGUCGGCUCCCCGCCCGGCUCCGGCGGCGCAACGCCGCCUCCGCCUCCGCUCCCCCGCCGUCUCUCCCGGCUCCACCGCCGGCCGGCGAGCCACCCCGGAUCCCUCUAGGCCCGCAGGUCACAAGUAACUCCCAACCCCCACCCCCGAACCCAUAUCCUAACUCUAACCCGCCGGAGUUCUCGCCGGACUUGAAGAAGACGCUAUCGUGGCAUUCAAUGAUUGGCCAGCAAAUUUCGAGUGUGGGAGGAGCAAAAUUGCGCGAGUAUGGUAUAGGAACGCGUGCGUGCGUCUGCAGAUCCAAUUAUCCAAUCUUGCAAAUAUUUGAUCCUGGGCCUUAUCUGCCCAAUGUAAGCCCCUCUCCAGUCUCCACCCCACUAGGUCUUCUGUAUAUAUGCACAAAGAGUAGACUAGAAGCAUAUGAAAGAACGGAACCGAAGGAGAAAUCAAGAGGAUCGAGGCGAUGGAUGAACCAAACCAAAGGAAUUCAGAGUCACAGCCAGAACCUGAUCAGGACGAGUUACCGUACAUGUACCAGCAAGAAGAGCACGUCGGGAUAAAGCAGCUGUAACAAGACCCACGGCAUCCAAGCAUGCUGGCCAUGACCGGCUUUCAGAGGUUUGGGAGUGUCCCGGCAUUGCCGAACCUGUCGUUUGGAAGCCCGGUGGCAGUCAAGAACGAGCCAGGGCAGCCGUCGUCGUCGACCAUCCUCUCGUUCGGCAGGCUGCCAGCAGCGAGCACGCUCAACUUCUCGUCGGGAGGAGAAGACUGGCCAGACGUCGCCGUCGAAGGGGUGCCGCUGGAGCCGCUGGAGAGGCGGAGCCGGUCGCAGUUGAGCACGGGUGGAGCAUGUCGCUGCCGAGCGAAAGCGGCUUGAGAAGAUGCAGCAGCAGUCCGUGGCGUUGGCUACCAUGGUACCUGACCUCACCAAGACGGACAAGAUCUCUAUCCUAGGGAGCACCAUCCAGUAUGUGAAGCAACUCGAGGAGAAGGUGAAGACACUAGAGGAGCAAAACGCUAGGAGAACAUCCUCUGAGUCAUCCACCGUCUUUGAGGGCAAGGGCCACAUAUCUUCCACCGACAAACAGCACACCUCAUGUCCUAGGCCCUGUUUGGAGUCGCUUAUUUCCCGCUUAUUGGUGGAAAUAAGCGAUAAACCCACCCAAACACCUUGCUUAUUUUGCGCUUGUCACGUAAGCCGCUUAUUGGAGAAUCUGAAAUACAACUAGCACUCCGCUUA
This is an RNA transcript of Setaria italica (foxtail millet), 1445 nucleotides long. It is a transcript of the gene named formin-like protein 3, with no coding region annotated. The transcript has 4 exons. Lineage: Eukaryota; Viridiplantae; Streptophyta; Magnoliopsida; Poales; Poaceae. The record is from RefSeq and is a predicted model, not a curated record.